Long non-coding RNA from Sitodiplosis mosellana (orange wheat blossom midge), 6549 nucleotides. RefSeq lists it as uncharacterized. The record is from RefSeq and is a predicted model, not a curated record. The transcript is spliced from 3 exons. Lineage: Eukaryota; Metazoa; Arthropoda; Insecta; Diptera; Cecidomyiidae.
GAGCGAACAAUAUGUUUCGAUAGGCACGUCGUCGUCAUCGUCGUCGGUCGCUCACUGUGUGUAUCAUUCGAACGCCUUUAGCCAUCCAUCCAUCGAGAAUGAACUGCAUGAUUCAGUUUGUUUGGAACUGUUGACGAGACCAGUGUGUUUUUGCCAGUGAGUCGCGCGCCGCGAUUUAUACACAGAGUGAAUUUUGAAUGAAUUCUUAUUUGAUGUGAUUUGCUUGCCGUGUGGUCGAACUACAGUCAAGUUCUACACGACGACUUUGAUGCGUUUCAUCGUUUCGAUGCGGUGAAUAAAACGCAUGUUUAGGUGGAAAAAUCAUCGAAUCGCCGCCGCGUACAGCAAAUGAACAAAAAAAAUAAAACGGAAAAACGGAUUUUUCUUUUCAGUGGAACAGAAAAGUUUCUCAUUUUCUUCUUGGAGGUUUUUAUUUUCUCCAUUUGAGUUUUUGAGUGAAUAAUUGGAAAGUGGUGAAAGGAAUUGAAAAAAAGUACAUAACAACACAACGGCAUAAUUCGCUCAUUCAAGAAAACUUAAAACAAAAGUGAAUGCGGAAAAACAAUGAAAUUUUCAUAAGGACUAAAACAAAAGGCAAAAUAAAGUGAGAGAAAAACACAGAGAUUUUUGUUUGUGUGUGUGAAGAAGAAGAAGAAGAAGAAAACAAGAACGAAAAAUUGUGAAUACUAGUGAUUUAUUUGCAAGAAAAAGGAUUGUGAGCAAAAAGUAAACUGCAAAAUAAACCGAUUGUUUUCUGUAAAGAGCAAAAACAAAACACACUGAUUGUUUUUCGCGAAAUUGUUGAACAAAAUUCCCGGAUUACCAAUUAUUUCCCAUUCGGAUUGUCUUUGAUUGGGAGGCCAAACAACACGAAUCUCUCGGAUUUCGUACACAUUAAUCGAGAAUCAACUGAAGAGCGAGAUCGGAGGAGAAAAAAAAACACCGAUCCGAAAAGUAAAGACAAAGCUGACAAACGAUUUCGCAGUGUGUCGUACAGUCGAAGUGAGUGUGAGAAAAAAUAACAACAACAACAACAGCAACAACCGCAUAGAGUGACGAAUAUUUUUAGCGAAGCGUGUUUUUGUGAAAUAAACAGAGAUUGAAACUCAAGUGAUACAGAUAAAAGACAAAGACGAAUCAAAAUAAAUCGCCCAAAAACGUUACACACGGAAAAUACAAUUAAAGGCACAUGCUAUUAUUGAUUUUUCGUUCCGUUCUGGUAACACGGUUCCUUUUUUUCUCUCUUCGGUGAAGUGACUCUUGAUAUCGUCGAAUGGAUAAGAAAAGCCGCGCGUAUUUAUAAUAUACAUCACAAAGCACAAAGCUUAGUCGAUCCAUUUCAAUUCAGCAAAUUAAAGGGCAGGCAAUAAGCAAGAGCGGACAUUUCAAAUCGAAACAAAUUACACAUCGUGUGUUAUCGUUACAGCGUUGCUCAAUACACCAUCUCGGAAUAUUUUGACGUAAGUUUGGCUAUUUCUUAUUUCAGCUUCAGUUUCAUUCCUUCGAUUUUCUCGGGUGGCAGUGUUGUUGUUCUUGCUUUCGUUUUAUUUAUUAUUGCUCAAUAGACGUUUAUUACUAAAUCAUAAUGUUCACCACAAAUCUCUUCGAAAUAAGCGGUGGGUCGACUGGAAAACUUGAAAUGCGUGAAUACACUUAUUUUGAAAACAAACCGCCACCAUCACCAGCUCUUUCGUCCUUCGAAAAAGUUGGUAAUAUAAAUUGGUGGUCAUAAAAAACAAACAGGUAAUGAAUUCGUUUGACUGUGCUCAAAGCUCGCUUCGAUGGAUCCACUCUCUGCGUCAUGCGCUUGCCCGCAUAAAAAUGGAAUUGUUAUAAGCAGCAGCAGCAGCAAUCAGAGCGGUUGAAGUGUGUGGCUGAAGGGAAAUUAUGGCAUUUUCAGUUCAACUUUUAUCGAUCGGCUUGGAAUCAAAUUCAUACACACGCAAAACACCUCUUACUUCUGAUGCGCUUAAAAUGCCAGAAAAUGGCUAGCUGUUGAAAUUGAUAAAAUUAUUUCACUUUUCAUGUUAGUGAAAAGGGAAAAAAAAAACUUUUUAUCGACUUCUUGACGCAGUUGUUUACUGCAAGAAAAACUUUCAAUUCCGACGACGGAGCAAAAACUUGGACAACAUUUGAAUGUGCAAUGGCAGAAUGGCUGGCAGAAUAUAUAGGAAGAAGAAUGGUUUGACAGGAAUCGAGAGGGAAGAAAGCACAAUUCGCAAAGUGCUUACCAUUCAAAAAUUCUUGAAACUUGCACCAAACAAUAUGCUUUUCGCAUUGAAAAUCAGAGAAGCGAUGAAUGAAACUCCAUCCAAACUUUAAUAUUGCUCGAGGUGAAAUGAAGGACAGUAACACUAUUCAAAUCAACAUGUUUACCAUUCAACGCAUUUCGCCCGAGCUCUAUCCAGUACAAAUUCAUUCACCAUUGUCUGCCAAUAAAACGAACUACCUUUUUUCUCUUUCUCUCCCACACUCGCUUCUUUUUGCUCUUACUCCCUCAAAACGUGCGUCUGACUCUCGACGUGGUGCACGGAAUUACCUUUGGAGAGAAGAUAAAAAAAAUGUUUGAAUUUCGUUUUCGUGCACAAGCCAACAAAUGAUUAAAGAUAUCCAAAGAAGAACGUAGCACACAAAACACACAUACACUCUCAUUUAUCCUCUUCAGUCCCAGUCGAUGAAUUUUUCAUUCGCACAUUUGGCCAAUUGUUUCUCCAGCUCAUGGUGGCGUUGUAGUUCUUUUUUUUUUUAAUUUAGCAAAUUUCAUGGACGAAAAAAAGCAAAUAAUAAAUUGAAAGUAUGGCCAUAAACAUAUAACAUUCUUCACUGUCCAGGUUUUUGUCGAUGUUGUUAUUGCUGCUAGUGGUUGCUGUUAUUCCAGACAGAUUUUUCCCUUUGCGAACAUUUUUGGCUGCAUCAUUUUUUUAUGCUGCAGACACACAUACACACACACACUUCAUGAGUGAUAGACACUAAAUCAAAAUCUACAAUGGCAUUGUUUACAUUUUUCUACACCUGAAUGCUUUACGUGCAUUUUACAUGCAUGUCCAGUGCACCAUGGCCAUUGCCAGCAGAUUUGAUAGAAUGGUAUUUAUUUUGUGCUGUGCUUUGUUUGACUUGGCUACAUCAACGGAGAAAAAAUGAGCUCGUCCGAAAAAUUGCUCAUCUGGAGCAAACUUUUGGAGUGCACAACAGUUGCCACCCCGACAUUGAGGCAGAUUAUUUUAUCAAAUGUUUACUUUCACUUUUUUAGUUUAUUUUGAAUUCGAUAUUUUCUUGUUCGAUCGAAUCGCAAGCUUUGUUUAAAAUCGAAAUAUUUUUUUUUAAACCAAAACCUUAGUUCUUAGACAAUCAAACAUGUAAUUCAAUCCGAAAGCCAAUUUUGCACACAAAAUAUCUCCCAUUCAUUUGAUACCAGGCUCAGUCAAGGGAGUGUCAUCCAAACACAACCGAAAUACCUGUGCAGUUCUGAUCUGUGUGCGCUAUUUGGUGAGAAAAGCAACAAAACUGUGUAUCGCAUUUUCAUUUUAUUACAUUUGGGGUUGAAGUAACCAUAGAACGGUGUAUUUGCUCAAGUCCGAGCGUUCGGUGUGUGUUCUUUUUCGGUAGCGACAACAACAAAAAACUUGCCAAAUCUCCGUUUUAUCCACACAUUUACCGGGUAAAGAAAAUAUUUUUUCUGAUUCGUUCACGGGCUACACGAAAUGGGAAAAAAAACUUUUUAAUAUUUUUAUUUACUUUUUCUGAAUUUUCUCUGUUUCUCUCUUCGUCGUCGACCGAAUAGAAGAAGAAAAAAUAAAUGCGAAACUGAACUAAUUUGAAUACAAUGGGCAUGAGCAGGAAAAGUAAACAAUAAGUUGGUCAAAGUAAGCGUUGUUGGCUUGUAUUAUUUGGUAACAUGGUUUUCAUCGUUCAUAAAAUAUGAACCAGAGUUGGCAUCUAGUUGUAUGAUGCGUCAAUUUUCCACACUGACCAUCGAUUUAUUUCGUCAUUUCAGUGAUUUUUAUCCACACUUAGACCUGUCAAAAAAUGAUCCAUAAAAUUGGUUCGAUUGCAGUUUGGCACAAAAAGUCGUUGCUUUUCAUGCAUAAAAAUAAGUUGUUCAUAUAUCAUUGGUGCGAGAAAAAAAAUGAAUUGAAAAAUUCGCAUAAAGGUAGAUGAGAUUUAUAGGCUCAACUUGGUUAGCACACUAAAUAAAUAAAUGAUGGAGAUGAUGAUGUUUUAUUUGCACAGGAUAUGAAUUCCAUGAACAUGAUUGCAUCACGAAAAUAGCCGAAAAAAAGACUUUCCAAAUAAUGUAACGAACGGAGUAGAGAGUUGAAAAAAUGUUUGCGUGGUUGUAACAAACGAAGAAUGGGAACGGGAGAGUCUAAACGAGUCCCACUUGAAAAUAUCGAAGUGGAAAAUCGUUCAAGGGGAUUUAAAUUCAUGCGAUACUCUUGUUGUGGAUUCUCAGAAAAGCGUUUUACACAACAGACGAGCAUGUAAUGCUUUUCCUGAAUUGACGACAAACAAUUCUCUUUCGAUCUCUCUCUCCUUUUCUCGCCCUCUCUCUGUGUAUAUAUCGAAUAAUGAACUCGCUUCUAUCAUUUGAAUACGUACACUUGAAAUGGUCAACGGAAUGAAAAAUAACUCAAGAGACAAAUCCAAACAAAUGAAAAUGAAUUUAAAAUCAACACGCUUCGAGAGAGAGAGAGAGAGAGUGAGAUCACGAUAACAAUGUGCGCGUUACAAUGGAUUCAUGUGCUUGAUCCAACAACACACGUUUCAAUGGCAAUGAAAAGCAUCAUCGAGCAACUUAUUACACAUCAGGACGUAGUUUUUUCCACUCUUUCGCUCACUACGAGGAUGGAAAAAAGAUGAAGGAACGACGUGAGCUCAAAAUCCAGCAUGAACAACAUGCUUUUUGUCUGUGAAGCAAAGCCAAGAGAAUGUUUUGACGACAAGAAAGGGAAGAAACAAUUAAAUACAUGCUCAUCGCACAUGUUUAUUCAAAAACAUUCUCUCUCACUCUCUCUCUAUGUGUGUGUUGGGAACUCAUGAAUUUCUUUUCACUUAUGUGCCAACCGGCCAACACCAUCUCGUUGCCAAAAUAACCAAUAUGCUUUUGCGUGUAAUAUUGCUCCAUGCAUACAUCAACAACAAGCGACUGUGUGUCCGGAUCUUAUCAUGUUUAAUAAUCUCCGUUCGUUCACUCGUUUCACCAUUUUUUUUUUCAUUUUCUUCUUUUGACUCUAAGCACUGCUGUCGCAUGUAUCGUUCGUAACAUAUUUGCCUGCAUGGUAUCAAGCACACAAAGCGUUCUCCAUCAUUUCAGAAUUUCAAUCUUUCAUUUAAUUCUGUUUGCCUGCGCUUGGCCAUACGAACACACAGAAACUGACUGCACUUAUCCUGUUCAGCAGACACUUUAUCAUAUACACUGCCCUGUUCGGCCCGGAUCGGCCCGCCUCUAUGCCAAUGUGCAUGUGUAAAUUUAAAUUAAAGGACUCUCUUGUUGAAUAUUAUGACGAUGAAGAUUUGCCGAUAGAUAUCAUGAUAAUUAUUUUUCGGGCACUCAACUCGCAUUUACAUAUUUAUACAUCGGUCUUUGAACUCGAAUUGUCUCUCUUUCUCUUUCACUGCUUUGUUUCUUUUUUUGCCUUUGUUUCCAUCAACUCGGAUACUAUCACAUAACGGACACACUCACUUCGGCUUCAUUAUUACUGUUGAUUUUUCACUCAACUCUCUCCGAAUUUUUCUCAUCGAUUCGAUCGCCACUACUUACUGCAUAGCAGAUUAGCACCAGAAUAAAUAGAGUGAGAGCGCGGGAAAGAGGGCGGAGUACAUGACGGCAAUCUUUGACAUUCAAACGAGUUGUUUACAUUUUACUCGACAAACGAAUUCGACGUUGGUCGUCGGUUUUUUUCCACUUUCAAUCUCAAUAUGUCUCCGUCACUAAUAAGAACGAGCGUAAACAACUGACGGAGUCUUUUUUUUUUAAAACAAAUUCACUUGAUUACUGUACAGCAUCUCGGUAAGGAUGAGGGCUGUUUAAUGUCUGAUACACAAAACACAUUUAAUUAAUAUUUAAUGCAAUAAUGCGCUACAGAAAUAUUUAAUUGAAUCAGUUACGAUGUGUUUUAUUCGCAACAUCGUCACCGCACUUUCUUCCGAUCCUGUGUCUGAAUCCAAUGUAAGAGCAAAUCGACCCAAUCACACCAUUUCGUGUUUACUUGUAAUUGUAACCAAGUGCAAACAAACCACCGUACAUUUUAAGCGCAAUAAAAAAUAGCUCCGUUUUUUUUUUUUGCUGAUGCAAACAGCAAGUCGCCUGAUAAUAAAAAAAAGAAGAUUCACGCAAAUUGCGAAAACAAAAUCGUGUGCCUUUAAAAUUUUAUGUGUGUUCUUUUCGGGAUUUCUUUUUUAUUCCGAGGCUACGACAACGACGACGACUACGAUGACGGUGAAAGUGUGGCUUACGUGCUGGAAAUUCAAUUACACGGUAUAAAACUCCGAAAAUGAUGCACACAAAGAAAGUAACCAUUGAAGAAAAAAAAAGGGAGAGAAAAAAAA